GAUCUGUUUUUAUAAUAAUGGAAAUAAUUGGCAGCAGUCAACAGAAACACCAUAGUUGCUAUUCUCUUUAAUGCAAUUGUCCUGUGAGAAUUCCAGGUAUAAAAAAUGAACCCACCUAGUCAUCCAAUGGGAUAAUAAUCUCUUGAUUUGUGAUUUUAUAUUUACAGAUUCAGCCAUAUCUUCCUAGGACCGAGCAACCAAAACUGGACCAAAGACCUUGGAUCCUCAGCAAUGGGGGUGCAUCUGGUGAUGGUGUUCAUGCUAAAUUUGUGCCAAGGGACACCUGUUCUUGUGGGAGAAUUAAUAAAUAUUUCACUUCUGUUUAGGUUUCUCAUCUGGGAACUGAACUGCUAUAAUCAAAUACAUAAAGAAAUUGAGCUGCCCCUGUCUGAAUUCAAUCUUCACCUUCUGAUGCUGAUGAAACAGGAUUCAAUGCAGGAGGGGGACAGAGCCUGCUUCAAAUGGAAUGGAGUGUGUCCAUCUCUAGCACAUCAUGCUCACUGA
This 504-nucleotide long non-coding RNA is filed under the name Callithrix jacchus (white-tufted-ear marmoset). Its description in RNAcentral is "lncRNA (ENSCJAG00000065465.2)". Lineage: Eukaryota; Metazoa; Chordata; Mammalia; Primates; Cebidae. The record is from RNAcentral.